UACAGAGGGGGCAAGCGUUGUUCGGAAUUACUGGGCGUAAAGGGCGCGUAGGCGGCCUUCUAAGUCGAACGUGAAAUCCCCGGGCUCAACCCGGGAACUGCGUCCGAUACUGGAAGGCUUGAAUCCGGGAGAGGGAUGCGGAAUUCCAGGUGUAGCGGUGAAAUGCGUAGAUAUCUGGAGGAACACCGGUGGCGAAGGCGGCUCACUGGACCGGUUCUGACGCUGAUGCGCGAAAGCGUGGGUAGCAAACAGG
RNAcentral lists this ribosomal RNA (253 nucleotides) under uncultured bacterium. RNAcentral's name for it is "partial 16S ribosomal RNA". It matches the Rfam family "Bacterial small subunit ribosomal RNA", at positions 524 to 776 of the family's 1533-position model. The record is from RNAcentral.